GCGGGAAUAGCUCAGUUGGUAGAGCACGACCUUGCCAAGGUCGGGGUCGCGAGUUCGAACCUCGUUUCCCGCUCCAUUC
RNAcentral lists this transfer RNA (79 nucleotides) under Actinobacillus pleuropneumoniae serovar 3 str. JL03. RNAcentral describes it as "tRNA-Gly". It matches the Rfam family "tRNA". Rfam says of the family: Transfer RNA (tRNA) molecules are approximately 80 nucleotides in length. Their secondary structure includes four short double-helical elements and three loops (D, anti-codon, and T loops). Lineage: Bacteria; Pseudomonadati; Pseudomonadota; Gammaproteobacteria; Pasteurellales; Pasteurellaceae. The record is from RNAcentral.